Molecule: small RNA, 101 nt
Filed under: Arabidopsis thaliana (thale cress)
Lineage: Eukaryota; Viridiplantae; Streptophyta; Magnoliopsida; Brassicales; Brassicaceae
Description: ATSL083190
Source: RNAcentral
ACUCAAGUUUUAUAAGGAAUGAAGAAGACGUGUGUAUUUAAAAAAAUCACGUCACCAUCGGUAAAUUUUUUUUGUUCAUAUGGUUUUUAAGGAAAAAGGGU